ACGCUCGACACCUACGGGAGGCAGCAGUGGGGAAUAUUGCACAAUGGGGGAAACCCUGAUGCAGCGACGCCGCGUGGAGGAAGAAGGUCUUCGGAUUGUAAACUCCUGUUGUUGGGGAAAAAGAGGAUGGUACCCAACAAGGAAGUGACGGCUAACUACGUGUCAGCAGCCGCGGUAAUCUGAGCGGGCUGGCAAGGC
Molecule: ribosomal RNA, 198 nt
Filed under: uncultured bacterium
Lineage: Bacteria
Description: partial 16S ribosomal RNA
Rfam family: Bacterial small subunit ribosomal RNA
Source: RNAcentral